RNAcentral lists this ribosomal RNA (448 nucleotides) under uncultured bacterium. RNAcentral describes it as "bacterial SSU rRNA". It matches the Rfam family "Bacterial small subunit ribosomal RNA", at positions 1052 to 1504 of the family's 1533-position model. The record is from RNAcentral.
UCGUCAGCUCGUGUCGUGAGAUGUUGGGUUAAGUCCCGCCACGAGCACAACCCUUGUAUAUAUAUAUAUACGCGAGAGCACUUUAUGUAGAAAAAACAGUGAUCUAUCUGAGGAAGGUGGGGAUGACGUCAAGUCCUCAUGGCCCUUAUGCGCUCGGCUUCACACGUCAUACAAUGGUCGGAACAGAGGGUCGCCAACCCGCGAGGGGGAGCCAAUCCCAGAAAACCGAUCGUAGUCCGGAUCGCACUCUGCAGCUCGAGUGCGUGAAGCUGGAAUCGCUAGUAAUCGCGGAUCAGCAUGCCGCGGUGAAUACGUUCCCGGGUCUUGUACACACCGCCCGUCACACCAUGGGAGUGGGUUUUACCAGAAGUGGCUAGUCCAACCGCAAGGAGGACGGUCACCACGGUAGGAAUCAUGACUGGGGUGAAGUCGUAACAAGGUAACCGUA